UUGGAGGGCAAGUCUGGUGCCAGCAGCCGCGGUAAUUCCAGCUCCAAUAGCGUAUAUUAAAGUUGUCGCAGUUAAAAAGCUCGUAGUUGAAUUUCGGGAUCAAUUUAUUGGUCGUGCUAUUGUACGUACUGGUAUUAUUGAUUCCUACCUUCUGACGAACCAUGAUGUCAUUAAUUUGGUGUCAUGGGGAAUCAGGACUGUUACUUUGAAAAAAUUAGAGUGUUUAAAGCAGGCUCACGCUUGAAUACAUUAGCAUGGAAUAACGAAAUAGGACGUUUGAUUCUAUUUUGUUGGUUUCUAGGAUCGACGUAAUGAUUAAUAGGGAUAGUUGGGGGCAUUAGUAUUCAAUUGUCAGAGGUGAAAUUCUUGGAUUUAUUGAAGACUAACUACUGCGAAAGCAUUUGCCAAGGAUGUUUUCAUUAAUCAAGAACGAAAGUUAGGGGAUCGAAGACGAUCAGAUACCGUCGUAGUCUUAACCAUAAACUAUGCCGACUAGGGAUCGGAUGAUGUUAAUUUUUUAAUGACUCAUUCGGCGCCUUACGGGAAACCAAAGUGUUUGGGUUC
This 564-nucleotide ribosomal RNA is filed under the name uncultured Glomeromycotina. RNAcentral's name for it is "SSU rRNA". It matches the Rfam family "Eukaryotic small subunit ribosomal RNA", at positions 548 to 1114 of the family's 1831-position model. The record is from RNAcentral. Lineage: Eukaryota; Fungi; Glomeromycota.